GGAGGGGCCUCAAAGUGGCUGAGAAAAGCACAGCAGCUGGACUGAGAACAGCCAAACAGAGUAAGAGUCACACAAAUCAUCUGAGCCAGCCCAGACACCACAGCCUGAGAUGCUUGGGUGGGGGCUGGAUGCAGAGAUUUAGGCUCUAGAGGUCAGUCCCCAGGAGAGGAAUGGGGCUGGUGGUGUGGAGACAGACAGAGGGGCUAAGGAGUAGUGAUCCAUGGGCAGAGGACUGGUAUGCCACGGGCCAAAGAGGGGAAUGCCAUGGCAAAGGGAACCCAGGAGAAGGCCUGGACUCACAGGAGAGGCAAGGUGCCAUUGCUGGGGAGGGCAAGAGGAAGAGGGGCGGACCACCAUAGGAAACUCCCUGCAUUGGAGCAUGUGCAUCCCCAUGGGCUCUCAGAGGGUGGGGUGGCUCUGUCACAGACCACAGGUGGUGAGACAACUCUUGCUCCUUUAGGGGAGACUGGAUGCUUCCUGUGCAGGCUACCAGUGGCCAGGCAUCUCUUGUGUGGGCUAAGGGCAUCAGGGGGCUAAGUGUGAUGUGGUGCCUCUUGCACAGUAUACAGGUGGCAGGGACAGAAUGCAGUGGUCAUCUCAGAGGUUGAGGGAGGCAUGGCUUGCCACCACUAUGCUCACUUCACACCUGCCCUGCAGCUAGACUGCCAAACGCUCUGGGUGGCACCCAGACACUUGGUCACUGUCCCUUCCCUACAACUAGGAGCAGUUGGUUCAGCACCUCCUGCGUGGGAUAGGUGGGACAGGGUGCUUCUUAUGUGGUCUGAAGAUGGUGGGGGCAAACCACCAAAGUUAUCUCUGAUUCCAGAGGUGGGCGUGGCCCACUGUGACUGGGGAUACCUGAACAAAAUUCACUUGCAGCCCCAACCACCUCAGAGGGCACCACAGAGAAAGACAUCGCAACAGCACAACAACUGCUGUUGCUCUCAUUCCCCUGGGAGCACACCAGCCCUGCUGCUGCCAUUGCCAAACACUCUGGGCAGUGCCAAGACACUUGAUCACUGUCCCUACCCAGGAACCUGCAACAAGGAGCAACAUGUGUAGCACCUUCUGUGGGGGCUAAGCAGGACAGGGUUCUUCUGGCAUGCUCUACAGGCAAACCACUGCAGUUAUCUCUGGCCUCAGAGGUGGGAGUGGCUCACCACCACUAGGGGUCCUUGAACAGACACCACUUGCAGUCCUAUUCACCUCAAGAGAACCACAGAGGAGGACAUUGUGACCAAACACCACCUGUUGGUGCUCUGGCACCCCUGGGAACACACCUGCCCUGCUGCUCCCACUGCCACAUGCUCCAGGCAGUAUCCACAUGCCUGAUCUCUGCCACUUCCCAGGAUCCUGCAAAUAGGAGCAGGCUAUAGCACCUCCUAUGUAGGCUAAGUGAGAUGGGUUGCUUCAUGCAAGGUCUAUAGGUGGUGGCAGCAAACCACCACAGUUAUUGCUGACUCUGGAGAUAGUUAUCACCCGCUACCAAUAGGGGGUCACUGAACAGGCACCACCUGUGGUUCCAAUCACCUCAGAGGAGGGCAGUGCAAUUAAACACAAGCUGGUGUUGUUCUCACUCCCCUGGAAACUCGUGGACCAUACUUCUGCUACUGCCAAAUGUUCUGGUCACCUUGUAGAUCUGCCUAGUGCUCAUUACCACUUUCCAGGGUCAUUCAACUAGGAGUAGCCUGUGCCACCUUCCUGCAGGUCCUUGCUGCUAUUGAGAGCCCUAUGACCAGGCACUGACUGCUGGCCAUACAAAUUACCACCUUUUCCCUGAAAACACAUUGAGCAUCCUGGGGAUAACAGCCUGCUCACACUGAAGAAAGAGACAGCAAAUAUUUAACCCCCCACACCAAAAAUAAAUAGUAACCCCCCAAAAAAUACAAAGGGGUAAACUUGCAUAGAAGUAGUCUUACAAGUCUACAGUUUGGCUUCCCCAAACUCACAGAAAAUGAAAAACAUGGGCAAGAUGAAGAAGCUCAGAAACCAUUCCCACUUAAAGCAAUAGGAGAAUUCACCUAAAGCAGUCAACAAUGAAACAGACCUCUGCAGUGAUAGACAUUGAUUUAAAAAAGGAGAUAGUGAGGGAGUUCCCAUCAUGGUACAGAGGCCAACAAAUCCAACUAGGAACCAUAUGGUUGCAGAUUCGACCCCUGGCCUUGCUCAGUGGUUUAAGGCUCUGGCAUUGCUGUGAGCUGUGGUGUAGGUUGUAGACAUGGCUCAGAUCAGGCAUUGCUUUGGCUCUGGCAUAGGCCGGUGGCUACAGCUCUGAUUAGACCCCUAGCCUGGGAAUCUCCAUAUGCUGUGGGUGCAGCCCAAGAAGAAGACGAAAAAAAAAGGGGGGGGUGGACAUAGUGAAAAUACUGAAGGAAUUAAGGGAGGAUAUGAACAUUAAUACAGAUUUCUUUAGAAAGGUACUAGAAAAUAUAAGGAGGAGCCAAGAACAACUGGAAAAUUCAUUUGCAGAGAUGCAAACUGAGCUAAAGGCAGUAAAGAGCAGAAUGAAUAAUGCAGAGGAAUGAAUUAGUGACUUGGAAGAUAGAAUAAUGGAAAUCACCCAAUCAGGACAGCAGGCAGAAAACCAAAUGGAAAAAAAAAUGAAAGCAAUAUAAGAGUCAUAUGGGAUAAUAUAAAGUGAAGCAAUCUACACAUAAUAGGAAUUACAGAAGGA
RNAcentral lists this long non-coding RNA (2674 nucleotides) under Sus scrofa (pig). RNAcentral describes it as "lncRNA (ENSSSCG00025008251.1)". The record is from RNAcentral. Lineage: Eukaryota; Metazoa; Chordata; Mammalia; Artiodactyla; Suidae.